AUGGAUGGUUUUUGUGGCUGUGCUUCACCUGGGAUGGGGAUGAGGAAGGCUGUGAGGAGGAGUGGGAGGGUGGGAAACAAGGGGCAGCUGUGGCUGGCACAGGACCAGAACUGGGUCAUUCCCAAUUGCUCCUCCUGCAGAAAAUGGGGUACAGGAGGUGCCUCUUUGCUAAUUAUCCUGGUGGAAAGUCAGAUUUUCCUUCCAGUGGAAUUACCUUGGUGGCUGAGAAGUGAAUUUCCCUCAGCUCUGCACUGGUGUUGCAGCUCCUGGUGUGGGAGCAGGAGCAGAGGCUUCCCACACCUCUCCUGGGCUGGGCAUGGAGCUGGAGCUGCUGGGAGCCCCAUGGAAAAGUGGAUCAGGGUGGAAGGAGCUGGUCCUUGGGAAAGGACCAUGGAAGUUUUGGGAAGCCAGCACAGAAGAUUUGGAGCAGCUGGUGGGAGAUUGCCCUGAGUGUUUCCUACAAACUGAAUUUUCCUAAUUCAAGGUGUACAGCACAUCCAGCAGGGUGGAGCUCUAGAUUAGAUCCCACAGAAAGAGAAAAAUUGAUCAGUGUAUGGAAAAUUAGUGGUUGCUCGCUUUGAUCGUGUCUGGUUUAUGCUAAUGGAGAAAAAAAAUAUAUUUACUGCUCUCCAAAAGCUCCAAUUUCACAAUGAGGAAAACAAUCCAACUCCCCAGAUUCCUCCACCCCUCUCCUGUCCCUGAUAAAACACCCAGAAAGUGGCAAGUGGGGUGAUCAGGAGCCCAUGGCAGGGAAUGGAAGUGAGGAUUUCAUAAUGUUCUUGAAGUGUGAUAGGAGUGAAGUUCCUCAGCCCAUUUUCAGGUGGAUCCAGGGCUGCUGCUGCUGCCUCUGUCCUCUCCCUGGGAGGGAGGAGGGUGAUGCUGCUGCCUCACAGGAGGGAAUAAUUUAUCUCCCAGCAGUGAUUAAGAGGCAGUUAAACAGCAGCUCCUCUCAUCAGACUCUGUUAAAUCAGUAAGUCUGCCUAACUGGCACCUAAAAUUUUUAAGAGCCAUCUGAGCUACUCUUUGGAUCGUUAAUGUUUAUUUUUAAUAAGUCCUGGCUUGCAGGGGAAGUUUCAAUAGGCUGGAAGAAAGCUUGUGCUCUGCCAUUAUUUAAAGAGGGUAAAUGGGCUGACCUGAGUAAUUACAAGGCUGUCAGAUGAGCGUUCAAUCAAUAUGUGUUUGAUAGCACCAAAUGUAAGGUCAUCUAUCCAGGAAUAAUGAACGGAGCUGGUGCAGGCAGGAGAGGAGAUCUUAUCCCCCAGCACAAGAGGAGAAUGCUGAGCAGGGCUGGGGAGAAUCCCUCACCCUGGCACGGGGGAGCUCCAUGAGGGGAUGCUGCUGGCCUGCUUUUGCAUCUGCAGUUCAUGAGGAUGCUUGGGAAUGCAGAGGGAAUUCAGGGAAAAUUCACCAGGAUGAUGAGAGGUUUUGCAGUCCACAAUAUAAAACUGGGGUCUGCUUAACCCACAUUAAUUAAUUUUAAUUUCUCUUCAAAAGCUCAUGAACUUCGUGGUUUUAAAGAACCAUCAAAACCUUGUGCCAUCUCUAUAUUUUUCCAGAUUCAUUUCUUAUUUAAUUGACAAAAUUAGUGGCAACAAUAUCUGCCCUGUUUUUCUCCUUUAAUUGUCUGUUGGAGCUUCUGAAUGAAAUUGCUAUUGGAUUUUGGGGACUUGGAUUGUGAAUUAGCGAUACAAUUUGCACGCUGAUGUUGGGUUUGUAAGUUGCUUGUGUUCCAAAAGAAACUGCCAAUGCCUUUAUGAAGAAAAAGACAUUAAAAUCCUGUAGUCCAGUAGGAACUGGGUGUGGAAGGGCUUCUGGAACAGCUGGGUCUCCUUGGGUACUCCCACCCUGGUUUCCCACCAGGAGAUAAGGAAAUGUGGGAAUAAAUGAUGUGGUGGGAAUAAAGCUGCUUUUGAC
Molecule: long non-coding RNA, 1914 nt
Organism: Cyanistes caeruleus (blue tit)
Lineage: Eukaryota; Metazoa; Chordata; Aves; Passeriformes; Paridae
Source: Ensembl